CAGGCCGUCCCUAAUUUUCCCCUGAAUUUUUUCCGGGGAACUGAAACACACUAACAGUACCUGCACGUGUUCCAAAAAAAACCCAAAUUAGGCCCAGGGCCUCUUUAGGCCCAAAUCGCAACUUCGGCCACACUCGCAUUGGUCCUUGUCAGAAAACAACCCUAGGGCCCUCGGGGGGCCAAAAAAUCACGGAAAAACGGAGCUUACCGGCGGCGGCGCUCUCGGGUGCGGCGGCUCUCCGGCGAGGUUCGUGUUUUGGUGAUUCGGCUCCGGUCAACCUGU
Molecule: long non-coding RNA, 282 nt
Filed under: Carica papaya (papaya)
Lineage: Eukaryota; Viridiplantae; Streptophyta; Magnoliopsida; Brassicales; Caricaceae
Description: long non-coding RNA (CPAP_LNC004376)
Source: RNAcentral